This 530-nucleotide ribosomal RNA is filed under the name uncultured bacterium. RNAcentral's name for it is "bacterial SSU rRNA". It matches the Rfam family "Bacterial small subunit ribosomal RNA", at positions 777 to 1304 of the family's 1533-position model. The record is from RNAcentral.
AAUAGAUACCCUGGUAGUCCACGCCGUAAACGAUGAGUGCUAAGUGUUAGAGGGUUUCCGCCCUUUAGUGCUGCAGCUAACGCAUUAAGCACUCCGCCUGGGGAGUACGGUCGCAAGACUGAAACUCAAAGGAAUUGACGGGGGCCCGCACAAGCGGUGGAGCAUGUGGUUUAAUUCGAAGCAACGCGAAGAACCUUACCAGGUCUUGACAUCCUCUGACAACUCUAGAGAUAGAGCGUUCCCCUUCGGGGGACAGAGUGACAGGUGGUGCAUGGUUGUCGUCAGCUCGUGUCGUGAGAUGUUGGGUUAAGUCCCGCAACGAGCGCAACCCUUGAUCUUAGUUGCCAGCAUUUAGUUGGGCACUCUAAGGUGACUGCCGGUGACAAACCGGAGGAAGGUGGGGAUGACGUCAAAUCAUCAUGCCCCUUAUGACCUGGGCUACACACGUGCUACAAUGGAUGGUACAAAGGGCUGCAAGACCGCGAGGUCAAGCCAAUCCCAUAAAACCCAUUCUCAGUUCGGAUUGUAGG